RNA transcript from Oryza brachyantha (malo sina), 5054 nucleotides. RefSeq lists it as uncharacterized. The transcript has 7 exons. The record is from RefSeq and is a predicted model, not a curated record. Lineage: Eukaryota; Viridiplantae; Streptophyta; Magnoliopsida; Poales; Poaceae.
UGUAGUUUAGUUUCCGUCCACUUUUGCGAACGACACACAAGCUAAUCCCUCCCGAUCCGAAUGAGCUGCCAUUCUGAUUGCCUUGCUUCGUGUUUCCAGAAGGUUUCGGCACGGAACCGCCUGGAACGCGAUAUCAAAGAGUUGCAGGCAGUAUCGCCAGAAUUGGUCUCUCGUUUGGAGGCGUGCACACGACGGCAGGAGGAGGAUGACCGGCCGACGACGGGACCGACGCGAGAGAGCUCCGACUGCCGGUAUUGUUUGCCGCUGCCGGCGGAUACACGGCGACGGCGGCAGGAGCCGACCUCACCUUCACCGGAGACAAGGGAGCGCUUCGUCAUUAGCCAGUUGCGCUACCUGUCUACCGACGUCUCGGAAUUCCUCGACAAGGUUGAAGAAGCCGGGCAGAGAAAGUGGUGGGAAUGGGAUCGCCUCAAACCUGAUCUACGUAUCUCCCGGGAUCUCGUUCGUCGUUGCAGCGAUAUCGAUCGUCGUAUCGUUCCCGAUUGGCGGAAUAUACUUGCCGCAUGGGAGCACCCUGUUCGAUAUCAACCUCGGGUUGAUCUGCCGGAGAGGCAGGCUCCUGGCCUCUUCGGAAUCCAUGGCCCAAAGAUGGCGAUCGUCAAUUGGCUACGGCUCGAACAGAGCUCGUGGAAAGCGGUCGCCAUCGUUGGACCCGUCGGGUCGGGAAAGACUACCCUCGCUGCUCAAGUGUACGAUGAAAUCAGCGGGCAGUUCGAUUGCUCGGUUCAAGUCUCGGCGGCUUCUUCGCAUACUGCAGAUAUAAGUAAGGCUCUCACCUACAUCCUGUCGCUGGUUGAUCCAGGAUAUCAUAACAAGAAGACGGAACCACCAGAAAAUUGGCUAGGCCUAACUGCCAGCAUGCAUACGUGCUUGAACGCUAAGAGGUACAUAAUUUUGAUUGAUGAUAUAUGGGAUUCAAAAUUUUUGAGUCGCAUUUUCUACGCUUUCCCUGUGAAUAACUGCGGCAGCCGAAUUUUGGUUACUACCAGAAUUAUGAGAGUAGCGGAUCGUGUAGCCAAUAAAUACGGUGGGCUUGUACACAGAAUGAAGCCUCUAGAUGAGAUAGACUACAAGAAGCUGUUCAUCAGGCACUUGACCACCACCAAGGAUAGCUGUGAUCUGGACAGAUUAAAACUAGUUUCCAAUAAAAUACACAAAACAUACGAUGGCAAGCCGUUGGCAAUAGCUGCUAUUGCAAACACGAUGAAACAAGAGGCUUCGAGCUCAACGCUUACUUGGGUAGAAGAGUUCUGUAAGCUGGGAAAGGCCCCCGGCCAAGGACAAAUAGGAAGAUUCCUCUCUAUUUACCAUGAUAUGUCUCAUGAUAUGAGAUGCUGGUUGUUGUACUUGAGUUUGUUUGGGGACUACUAUAUCGACAAGGACCGGCUCAUGUGCAGAUGGGUUCCAGAAGGAUUUGUCACUCCAUUGUGGAGAUAUGACUUGCUAACUGAAGCUGAGGGAUGUUUUGAUGAGCUCAUAGACAGAAACAUCAUCCAACCAGUGAAACAAGGAAAAUGCUAUCCCGAUGUCGGGAUAUACAAGGCUGACUUUCUGAUGAUCCAAGUCAUACUGCAGAUGUCACCCCUAAAGAAUGCUAUUAAGACUACCAGUGACAAAAUCCGCUUAAUAGAACACAAUAAUCUGCUCCAUCUAUCCAUUUACUCUCCUGAUCUAAAUGUUGACGAGGAACUAGGAGAGAAGGAUUUGCCACUUGUCCGUUCACUGACAAUACUUGAUGAAGCGGCUCAGAGUAUCGAAUUUUCCAAAUUCACAUAUUUGCAUGUGUUGGAUGUACAAGGUUGGGCAAAGUUGGAUGAUGAUAUUAUGUCGAAAAUAUGCACAGUACUGAAGAGGUUGAAGUAUUUGAACAUUAGGGACACAAAGGUGAGCAUUCUCCCACAACGGAUCAAGAACCUGAGCAUUUUGGAGACAUUGGACAUCAGACAAACACGUGUAAGCUUUAUCCCCCCAGAAGUGUCUAAGCUACAAUUCUUGCAGGCACUGUACGUUAGUCAUCUAAAAAUAAGAAGGCUCCCAUCAUUAAUCGUCAAGCUACAUAGGUUGGUGAAGCUGGAUCUCAGAGAAACAGAAAUAACAGAACUACCUGACCAAGGAAGCUGGCUAAGAAACUUGUUACACCUGCUUGCUGGCUGUGAAGAUUCCACUAAAAGUAUGCUAAAGAUGCCCAGAUGGAUUAGCCGUGCCAGCUUGCUAAGGACGCUAGCAACUGUUGAUUUAAGCGAAUGCUUAUUAGAAACUAUAAGAUCUCUCGGUGAUCUAAAAGAACUAAAUGAGCUAGCCAUAAUAUUGUCUUGUCACCACUCGGUCAAACAACUAUACCAGGAGGCAUUGCUGACAUCCAUCGACAAAAUGGAGAAACUUAAAUAUCUGGCAAUUUAUGGCGAAUUUGGUUGCUCCAUUGAAUUCAUGUGUUAUCUUACAAGGCCGCCUAAGCUUGAGAAACUCAUAUUAACUCCAAGGUUGGUCAGUAUUCCCCAAUGGAUUAAAAGUCUCGACGACCUUGUCCUCUUAAAGAUCACUGUAUGCAAAUUUGAGACAACAGAUCUGGCAAGCCUUGCAGGUUUACGAAAGUUGUGUUGCCUUGAGCUUGUUUUGGAAUUCCAUCUAAAACAAGAGAUUGUAAUUCAAAAUGAAGGUUUCAAAUUUCUUGAGAGAUUUUCGGUUGCUUGCCGUGUGCCAUGGCUGACUUUUAAACAAGGAGCUAUGUCCCAGCUAACGGCGCUUGAGCUGAAAUCCUCUUCCCUAGAAGGUCAGUACAGAAUUAUUUUGUCAGGUAUACACAAUCUGGUAAGCCUCGAUCAAAUUCUCCUCCAUUCUUCCACACGGUACGGCAGUAAUCCUACUCCCGACAUAAAGUACAAGGAAGGUGAAAGGUACGGUAGGUGUAUCAAAGUUUUCAUUAAUGGCAAAGAACAUGAACAGGCAAGUAAAGCUGGCAGUUCGACAAUAAUAACCGAAAUAAAGAUGGAAACAAAAAUACGUGAAUCAGCGCCAUCUAUUUCGGAACAAGAACGGGAGCACAACGACAAGGUGACAGUGGAAGAGAGCAGCAAUCCAAGAGAGGCUGCACCUACGGUCAAAAACGACGGGACAGGUGAUGGCAACCAGGAGCGAGCUAAUGAGGACGGCCCCAGCCUAAACAGAUACCACUUCAAUGCAGUCCUGCAGAGCUUCCUUGCGUUAGACAACCUGCGUAUGACAAUGCUAAGGCGAGAUCCCGUUGCAGGAUCUCUCACUUCGGAGCUAAAUAUGGUUUUCAUGGAUACAAAUGGUGCAAAUGGUAUAGGCAGAAAUCUGGAGCAAAACCACUUAUCAGAAAUAUUCUCGGAGCAAACAAAAUUCCGUAGCCAUGAGAUGAUGCAGCGUAGCUUUCACUUUCAGGGCUUCAUGCAAAAUGGAUUGGGGGAGAAAGCUGAUGCUACCAACAUGCCAAAUAUUGAGGACGCGUGUGUCAGGAUGUCUACAGUUUCCUCCAGCGACCAAUCUGAGCAAAUGCAAGUUAAACCAGAUCCUGUGAUGUCAGGGUCGGACGAGCGUGCUACGAAUACAAGUAAAGUCCAGCACCAGGAGCAUGCCGCAGCACCAGCAAGCAGGAGGCACGGCGAAGGUAUGGUCGAAGGGAGAGACAUGGAAGAGGAAGGGACAGCAAUAACCAAGCACAGGGUGGUCGGUGACAUGCCAGUGUGGGGUAAUAGGCUUGGGAAUGUGGUAAGAAGGAUGCCAAAUUCUGGAAACAUAUGCCAUUUCAAUGCAGUGUUGCAGAGCCUUCUUGUUCUUGACGAACUGCGCAGGAAGAUGAUAGAAUUGAAUGUGCAGCAUGGGACCAUACUUUUAGAACUGAAAGAUCUCUUCAAGAAGACAAGUGCUGGUACAAACUAUGCAGAAGAUACGCUGGAGAGAGAGGCAGGAAAGGUGUUUGAUGAAAUGUGCUCAAAGGGUCCAGAUUACAAGAAAAGUGAGAUGAAUGACAGCAUUGAUACGCUCAACUUAUUGCUUAAUUGUUUGAAGAAAGAGGAUGAGGGAAAUGAUUCUACCAUUGUCAACCCUACCUUCCGUUUUGAGAUGUCUACAACUGUUACAUGUAAAAGAUGUAAGGGUCAAUCAACUUCUCCGCAGGAAGGCCUUUAUCUCAGUCUGGAUCUGCCGGCAAAGAAGCAUUUACCGGAGUGUGCAUCGCUGCCACCUACAGACAGAGAUCAAAACAGAGAUAUUGAUAUCACGACACAUAAAAUAAAUAAUAUAAAUGAUGGGGUAUAUGACAUAGAUGAUCCUAUAUCUAUCGAGAUCUGUUUUGAUAAUUUUGUAAGCGAUGAGCUCAGUGAUUAUGUCUGUCAGCACUGCAAUGGUACUGAUGGAAAUACUGUGGACCAAAAGGGAUCUGCUACAAAGCAAAUUUUCAUUACCAAGGUGUCACCAGUACUAAUAGUUCAGCUGAAGAGAUAUUGGCAAUCUCCAGAAGGUUCACCAAAAAAACUGAUGUCAGGUGUGAAAUUUGAGGAGCUGCUUGAUAUUACUAAGUACAUGGAAGCCAGACCUUCAGAGAAUACCAAAUGCAUCUAUCAUCUAGUUGCCGUCAUCCAACACACUGGGAACUCAUUAGACGCAGGUCACUACACUGCCUAUGUGAGAGCAAACAGAAUUGCAGGCCAGGAGAAGAAAAUCUUGUGGGCACAUGCAAACGAUGCGAACAUCAAAGAAUGUUCUCAAGAAGAAGUUCUUGAAAGGCAGGCGUAUAUUCUUUUCUACGAACAAGUAGAAGGGUAAAACCAUAUAGCAGUUCUAGAUAUCGAUUUAUCAAACAAUCACAGGUCAAGCUUCAAGCUGAUUGAUUGGAUGGACGGGAGUGGCCGUCUGCCGUGUGUUCCAGAGGUGCUCUUAUGUCUCCCCGGGUCUCUUCCAUGGUUACCCAUCAAGGGACGAAUCUAACGUGGGUGCUGAGGGCUCAAGCCCCCCUAUUUGUUGGAUCCCCUUGAAAGAUAAGAAAAAAGUAGGGAAAAAAAGAGAAAAGAAUG